AGAGGGAAGAAGGAAUGCGGCUGGGGCCAGAUCUGCUGGUUUCAGUCCGGCAACUGCGUCGGGGCCGCCGCAAGGGUGACAGGAGGACGCGCUAGUUCCCACCCCGCCCAGACCCCUUGCCAUGUGUAACUCUGCCUAUUAAACUUACAGAGUUUAGCAGAGAGCGUUAGACUCCAAAGCCCCACCCUUUUGUCGAGUCCUCAAGCCGCAUUGAGAGAAGCUCCUGAAAUGGGGCUGCCUCAGCCAGAGAGAUAGCAAGUUAUCUUAUCCAUUGCCGAGCGGUUGAGAACCCUCACUACUUGCCAAGCGCGCCGUACUAUGUAUGUCAUCUUGAAUUCUUAUAAAACUUGUGUGGAAAAUACGAUUGUGCUCAAUAUACAGAAGAGGCAACUGAAGCUCCAAAGCUAAACAAUUUGUCUAAAGUAACAGUAAAUGGUAGAAUGUCUGCAUGUCUGCUUUCAAGACCUGUGCACUAAAUAACUGCUAAACAGUAAUUUGCAAAAACAACGUAGCACCUAGCAUGCGAGAUUCUAGGUUUUCUAACCAGGACAGAAAUGACUGCAGCAUUUGACGGAGCUGGAAGGUGGGGGGAAGCACCUUUGAUCUGAAAAGUUACAAAAAUGGCACAAAGUAUCUAAACAAGACCUAUCCGAUCCGCAGCUGAAAAAAAUGAAAGUGUGUGUAGGGCAGUGUAGUUUAUGAAAGGGGUAACGUCUUGAAGAUAUAGCACAAUUCAAAACUCACGUAAUUCGAGAUAAACCUUAACAAAGAAUCUCUUUUUAAAAGCUGAGUACUGUACAUGUUCCCAUGCGGAAUUACUGUCAAUACGGUUUAUGAAGCAGGAGCUCUGCCAGCUUUGGAUUGUAUAACUGCUGAUGGAUUUUUAAUUCAUUUUUUCAAAUUUUGAGAUGAUAUUUUAGUUAUUGUUAUAUGA
RNAcentral lists this long non-coding RNA (934 nucleotides) under Homo sapiens (human). RNAcentral describes it as "non-protein coding lnc-ARSG-3:1". Lineage: Eukaryota; Metazoa; Chordata; Mammalia; Primates; Hominidae. The record is from RNAcentral.